UAUUGCACAAUGGGGGAAACCCUGAUGCAGCGACGCCGCGUGAGUGAAGAAGUAUUUCGGUAUGUAAAGCUCUAUCAGCAGGGAAGAAGAAAGACGGUACCUGACUAAGAAGCCCCGGCUAACUACGUGACAGCCGCCGCGGUAAUACGUAGGGGGCAAGCGUUAUCCGGAUUUACUGGGUGUACAGGGAGCGUAGACGGCUGUGCAAGUCUGAAGUGAAAGCCCAGGGCUCAACCCUGGGACUGCUUUGGAAACUGUGGAGCUAGAGUGCUGGAGAGGUAAGUGGAAUUCCUAGUGUAGCGGUGAAAUGCGUAGAUAUUAGGAGGAACACCAGUGGCGAAGGCGGCUUACUGGACUGUAACUGACGUUGAGGCUCGAAAGCGUGGGGAGCAAACAGGA
This 399-nucleotide ribosomal RNA is filed under the name uncultured bacterium. RNAcentral's name for it is "bacterial SSU rRNA". It matches the Rfam family "Bacterial small subunit ribosomal RNA", at positions 362 to 777 of the family's 1533-position model. The record is from RNAcentral.